RNAcentral lists this ribosomal RNA (328 nucleotides) under uncultured bacterium. Its description in RNAcentral is "bacterial SSU rRNA". It matches the Rfam family "Bacterial small subunit ribosomal RNA", at positions 388 to 707 of the family's 1533-position model. The record is from RNAcentral.
GCAGCAACGCCGCGUGAGUGAUGAAGGCCUUCGGGUCGUAAAGCUCUGUCAGAAGGGAAGAAAUGGAAGGGUGUUAAUACCAUCUUUUCUUGACGGUACCUUCAAAGGAAGCACCGGCUAACUCCGUGCCAGCAGCCGCGGUAAUACGGAGGGUGCAAGCGUUGUUCGGAAUUAUUGGGCGUAAAGCGCGUGUAGGCGGUCUUUUAAGUCUGAUGUGAAAGCCCCGGGCUCAACCUGGGAAGUGCAUUGGAAACUGGGAGACUUGAAUACGGGAGAGGGCAGUGGAAUUCCUAGUGUAGGAGUGAAAUCCGUAGAUAUUAGGAGGAAC